GUGCACCAGGCGAGAAUCCUUCGCAAUGCAGGAAACUGCGACGAGGGAACUCCAAGUGCCUACGCUCAGCGUAGGCUGUUCUCAAGCCUAGAAAGCUUGAGGAGUAAGGGCUGGGGUAAGACGGGUGCCAUCUGUGGUAGCAGUCAAUAGAUUCGAUUUGUUACUGCAAGGCAUAAGCCGCCGCGGUGAUACCCGCAGCCCAAGUGGUGGCCGUCUUUUAGUUGGGCCUAAAGCGUCCGUAGCCGG
This 246-nucleotide ribosomal RNA is filed under the name uncultured microorganism. RNAcentral describes it as "partial 16S ribosomal RNA". It matches the Rfam family "Archaeal small subunit ribosomal RNA", at positions 330 to 528 of the family's 1478-position model. The record is from RNAcentral.